UCCCUAGAUAUAUGAAGGGCUGCUGAGAAGUUCCUGUCUUUUAGGGUAUCGCAAAAGGCCUGGCAGGAGGCCCAGCCUUCCGACUUUUUUUUUAUAGGGCUUAGAAAAACUGAAGGACCGCUGCAAUAAGUGUGUGAAUCUGAGAGGGGA
Long non-coding RNA from Octopus sinensis (East Asian common octopus), 150 nucleotides. RefSeq lists it as uncharacterized. Lineage: Eukaryota; Metazoa; Mollusca; Cephalopoda; Octopoda; Octopodidae. The record is from RefSeq and is a predicted model, not a curated record. The transcript has 3 exons.